UUAAAAAAAAUAUUUUUAAAACGAUCAAGUUUGAAGUCUAUAGGUUAAGAACCCCUGAUCUAGUCCAGUAUCUUCCUUCUGCUCUUAAUUUACAGAAGAUGACGUAACUGAGAUUCAGAGAGGUCAUGUUACUGUUUAAGGUCACCUAAAGACAUCAGUUGAAGAGCUGGGUUUUAAACCAGCUCUUCUGACUUCAAAUCUAUUGCUUUUUUCCACUGCACGACUUACACUGUUCCCAAGCAAUAUGUAAGCUAAGAGUUUGACAUGGGUGCCAUUAUAUGACUGCCAUCUGAAUAGAAACAGUGUCUGGAAAGAGGGUAGGAACCCCGAUAUGCUGUCCUCUUGUCAGAGCACUUUUGAGAGAGCAUUGUGCUUACCCUACAGGCACCAAAGCCAGAUUCUGAGGGACCACUGGAGCAAAGAGCAGAGGGUAAAGAAAUGGUAGUGGAAAGGGAAGCACAGAGGGUGCAAAGAGUCGCUGUUUUUUAGAUAAUUUGUAAGCCUUGACUUAAGGGUUGGUACUUGAAAUAUGAGGUCUUGGACCACGGACCAAGGAAUGAAUAGACUCUUGGAAGUACUGAACCACCUCAACAUUGAUGCACUUAACAUUGAAGAAAACCAGGAGACAAAAGGAUUUAGCAGCCAGAUGGAAGGACAGCUUAAUGGUUCACCUUGAAGAAGCACAGAGAUGGUUGAUGGCAUGGAAGCUGCACAGUACUGAGAAUGAGGAGUUUGAGAAAUUCUAUGGAGAAAUGGAAAUCUAACUGAUAUAAAAGAGUCUCGUAAGGAGGAGGCCAAAAGACUCUCACAUUAUUCAUGGCAAGUGAGGCAUAAAAUGAGGGAGAUAGAUGCUUGCUGAAGGUAUUGGCGGCUGUUGAGGACAAUGUCUUGCACAAGUUCCACAUGAAAGGAUUCUCUGUAGAUGUUGAGAAGACAGUGUUUAUGAAUGAUACUGAGUUGAUUUUUAUCAAGCAAUAAAGCCUGAGAAAAUGGCAGGCCCUUCUCAAGGCUUAUUCAAGAGACUGAUUUUACGGGCCAUGCAGAAAAAAUAAAUGUAUGAAAAUUGACUGUUAACCAUAUUGUGACAUGGAAUGGACUGUCAGUCCCUUGAAUUAGUCCCUCAGUGUUUAUUUGUUACAGGUACUGCAGAUGGACAGUGAGUUGGGCCUAGAAUUGAAUGGGGGACAGUGUAGAGAUUUUUAUUUGUACAAGUACAUUAAAUACAUAAUUCUACACAUCACUUUCAAAAUUGUCCUGUCUGUGAUUCCUACUUCCGUUCUUUUCUGUGUAUUUUUAAAAAUGAUGUUACAAUGGUCCUCCUUUUUUUAAAGGGGCCAUCCCUAUUUCCUCUUCCUCUCACCCCUGGUGAAAAAACAAGAGAAAGAAAGACCCUUUCUAACAAACAUAGCAAACAACACAUCCACAUAGUGACCAUGUCAAAAAAUCCAUCUCCCUUUCUGUGCUUUAUGUCCAUCACCUUUGUCAGGAGGUAGGUGACAUGCAUCAUACCUUCCAGGGUUAGGCCCCCCCUGGAUACUGAAAGUUCAUUUCUGAGUGCAUCUUCUGGGCCCAUCUCAGGCCUCGACUGUCCCCUUCUGAAUGCUGUGGGCUGUGUUGCCUUGUCUCUCCUUGGGACUUCUAAGAUCCAAACCUUGAAACAUUGUCAGGGAAAACUGUAGCUGGCUGCUCGACACAGCCUUUCAGGCUGGUGUUGCCCUGGGAGAUGGUGGCAUUGGCUUUGCUGACUGGGGGCAGAUUCCUUUUGCGUAUGAGCCCCUUUCUGUUGCCUGUAGGCUUCUGGCUGAUGUCUUGUGCAGUUACAAGGUGGAAGAAGUUAACUGUAGUUUCUCAUAUUUAUUGAUCAUUAUUUGAUCUAGUGUGAACUAAAGAGUUUUGCAGGAGUUAUGUGUGUUUUGCUGGGUGAUCUGAUUCCCAUUCAGGUAGCCCAUCUUGUCAGGAAGACUUGGAUUUUGUUUGAGAAAUUACAUAGUGAUUUUAAACAAACAUGUUCAAAGAAUCAUCUUUUCAACAUACACAUUCUGGUAAAUGCGUUGCAGACUAUCUAAAGGGCAUUGGAGAAUUUGCAUGGUG
Molecule: non-coding RNA, 2091 nt
Organism: Phascolarctos cinereus (koala)
Lineage: Eukaryota; Metazoa; Chordata; Mammalia; Diprotodontia; Phascolarctidae
Source: RefSeq, a predicted model, not a curated record